UACGGAGGGAGCUAGCGUUGUUCGGAAUUACUGGGCGUAAAGCGCGCGUAGGCGGCUUUGUAAGUCAGAUGUGAAAGCCCCGGGCUUAACCUGGGAACUGCGUUUGAAACUGGGGGGCUAGAGUGUGGAAGAGGGGGGUGGAAUUCCAGGUGUAGCGGUGAAAUGCGUAGAUAUCUGGAGGAACACCGGUGGCGAAGGCGACAUCCUGGACCGGUAUUGACGCUGAGGCGCGAAAGCCAGGGGAGCGAACGGG
RNAcentral lists this ribosomal RNA (253 nucleotides) under uncultured bacterium. RNAcentral describes it as "partial 16S ribosomal RNA". It matches the Rfam family "Bacterial small subunit ribosomal RNA", at positions 524 to 776 of the family's 1533-position model. The record is from RNAcentral.